RNAcentral lists this ribosomal RNA (122 nucleotides) under Phytophthora syringae. RNAcentral describes it as "partial 5.8S ribosomal RNA". It matches the Rfam family "5.8S ribosomal RNA", at positions 37 to 154 of the family's 154-position model. From Rfam's summary of the family: 5.8S ribosomal RNA (5.8S rRNA) is a component of the large subunit of the eukaryotic ribosome. It is transcribed by RNA polymerase I as part of the 45S precursor that also contains 18S and 28S rRNA. Functionally, it is thought that 5.8S rRNA may be involved in ribosome translocation. The record is from RNAcentral. Lineage: Eukaryota; Oomycota; Peronosporomycetes; Peronosporales; Peronosporaceae.
UGAAGAACGCUGCGAACUGCGAUACGUAAUGCGAAUUGCAGGAUUCAGUGAGUCAUCGAAAUUUUGAACGCAUAUUGCACUUCCGGGUUAGUCCUGGGAGUAUGCCUGUAUCAGUGUCCGUA